AAAAAGGCUGUUUUUUUCAUUAUAAAGAUCACAGCCAUUAACUUUUUCAUCAGAGUUCCAU
This is a non-coding RNA of Aedes albopictus (Asian tiger mosquito), 61 nucleotides long. The record is from Rfam. Lineage: Eukaryota; Metazoa; Arthropoda; Insecta; Diptera; Culicidae.